AGCCCAAACCAAGUUUGUUUCGGCAAACUUGGGGUUGUAGGACCUCGACAUAGGAAGACAAGAUUAGGAGAACGGUCUGGAAAGGCCGGCCAUAGAACAUGACAGCUGUGUAUCCGAAAAUCUUCGUUGGACUUAGAGGUAUCCUGAGUAGCGCGGGACACGUGAAAUCCUGUGUGAAUCUGCGGGGCCCAUCCCGUAAGGCUAAAUACUCCCGAGAGACCGAUAGUGAACCAGUACCGUGAGGGAAAGGUGAAAAGAACCUCGAACAGAGGAGUGCAAUAGAUCCUGAACCCGUCUGCCUACAAGCGGUAGGAGCAGCUUCGAGCUGUGACUGCGUGCCUUUUGCAUAAUGAACCUACGAGUUACUUUCUCUGGCAAGGUUAAGUGAUGAAGAGUCACGUGAGCCGAAGCGAAAGCGAGUCUGAAUAGGGCGAAUUAGUCAGAGGGAGUAGACGCGAAACCAAGUGAUCUACCCUUGGUCAGGUUGAAGGUUGGGUAAAACCAACUGGAGGACCGCACCGGUAAGCGUUGAAAAGCUUUCGGAUGAACUGAGGGUAGGGGUGAAAGGCUAAUCAAACUUGGAGAUAGCUCGUACUCCCCGAAAUGCAUUUAGGUGCAGCCUGUGGAGUUUCUUACGUGAGGUAGAGCGACUGAUUGGAUGCGAGGCUUUCACCGGCUAUCAAGUCCAGACAAACUCCGAAUGCACGUUAAGUAAGAUCCACGGAGUGAGGGCAUGGGUGCUAAGGUCCAUGUCCGAGAGGAGAAGAAUCCAGACCAUCGGCUAAGGUCCCGAAAUAAUAGCUAAGUUGACCAAACGAAGUCAGAGUGCGAAGACAGCUAGGAUGUUGGCUUGGAAGCAGCCAUUCAUUUAAAGAGUGCGUAACAGCUCACUAGUCGAGUGCUUUGGCGUGGAUAAUAAUCGGGCAUAAGCUAUUUACCGAAGCUGUGGGAUGUGUAAACAUCGGUAGGGGAGCAUUCUAGCGACGCUGAAGGUGAGAGGACAACUCUUGCUGGAGUUUCUAGAAAAGCAAAUGUAGGUAUAAGUAACGAUAAAGGAGGUGAGAAACCUCCUCGCCGAAAGACUAAGGGUUCCUGAUCAACGCUAAUCGGAUCAGGGUUAGUCGGGGCCUAAGGGGAAGCCGAACGGCGGACCCGAUGGAAGAACCGGUUAAUAUUCCGGUACUAAUUAUGUGAGCGAUGUGGAGACGGAGAUGUGACGGUCCUGCCACCUGACGGAAUAGGUGGUUGAAGGGUGUAGGAGUUGAUCUGAGUAGGCAAAUCCGCUCGGAGAUCCGAACCUGACAGUACUCUGAGUGCUUGCACAAGGAGAUAUGGACAACUGUAACGGUGCUCCCAAGAAAAUCCGCUAAGCAUAUUGCAUGAUUACCCGUACCAUAAACCGACACAGGUGGUUGGGUUGAGUAUACUAAGGCGCUCGAGUGAUUCGCGGUUAAGGAACUAGGCAAAAUAGUCCUGUAACUUCGGAAUAAAGGACGCUCACAGUGAAGGCUGUGAGCCGCAGAGAAUAGGCCCAGGCGACUGUUUAACAAAAACACAUGGCUAUGCUAAAUCGAAAGAUACUGUAUAUAGCCUGACACCUGCCCGGUGCUGGAAGGUUAAGAGGAGAUGUCAUCGCAAGAGAAGCAUUGAAUUGAAGCCCCAGUAAACGGCGGCCGUAACUAUAACGGUCCUAAGGUAGCGAAAUUCCUUGUCGGGUAAGUUCCGACCUGCACGAAUGGUGUAACGAUCUGGGUACUGUCUCAACCGCGAGCUCGGUGAAAUUGUAGUAUCGGUGAAGAUGCCGAUUACCCGCAACGGGACGAAAAGACCCCGUGAACCUUUACUAUAGCUUUGCAUUGGAUUUGGGUAACAAAUGUGUAGGAUAGGCCGGAGACUGAGAAGCGGGUACGCCAGUAUUCGUGGAGUCGCCGUUGAAAUACGGCCCUUUUGUUAUUUGGGUUCUAACUCGCUGGAGCGAGGACAUUGCAUGGUGGGUAGUUUGACUGGGGUGGUCGCCUCCAAAAGAGUAACGGAGGCUUCU
RNAcentral lists this ribosomal RNA (2041 nucleotides) under human metagenome. Its description in RNAcentral is "bacterial LSU rRNA". It matches the Rfam family "Bacterial large subunit ribosomal RNA", at positions 266 to 2311 of the family's 2925-position model. The record is from RNAcentral.